Molecule: ribosomal RNA, 877 nt
Filed under: uncultured delta proteobacterium
Lineage: Bacteria; Deltaproteobacteria
Description: bacterial SSU rRNA
Rfam family: Bacterial small subunit ribosomal RNA
Source: RNAcentral
AACAAACGCUGGCGGCGUGCCUAAUACAUGCAAGUCGAACGGGGAAAGCUACUUCGGUAGCCGUACUAGUGGCGCACGGGUGAGUAACAAGUGGAUAAUCUACCCUUUGGCGGGGAAUAACUAAUCGAAAGGUUAGCUAAUACCGCAUAAGACCACAGUUUCUACGGGAACAGGGGUUAAAGGCUUCGGCCACCAAAGGAUGAGUUCGCUUCCGAUUAGCUUGUUGGUGAGGUAAUGGCUUACCAAGGCUACGAUCGGUAACUGGUUUGAGAGGAUGAUCAGUCACACUGGAACUGAGACACGGUCCAGACUCCUACGGGUGGCAGCAGUAGGGAAUAUUGCGCAAUGGGGGAAACCCUGACGCAGCGACGCCGCGUGAGUGAAGAAGGCUUUCGGGUUGUAAAGCUCUGUUCUUGGGGAAGAAAAAAAUGACGGUACCCAAGAAGAAAGGACCGGCUAACUUCGUGCCAGCAGCCACGGUAAUACGAGGGGUCCUAGCGUUGUUCGGAAUCAUUGGGCGUAAAGCGGGUGUAGGCGGUCUUAUAAGUCAGAAGUGAAAGCCCCAGGCUCAACCUGGGAAGUGCUUUUGAAACUGUAAGACUUGAGUGUGGGAGAGGAAAGUGGAAUUCAUGGUGUAGUGGUGAAAUACGUAGAUAUCAUGAGGAACUCCGGUGAGGAAGCUGGCUUUCUGGCCCAACACUGACGCUCAGACCCGAAAGCGUGGGUAGCAAACAGGAUUAGAUACCCUGGUAGUCCACGCCGUAAACGAUGGAUACUUGGUGUCGGAGGUAUUGACCCCUUCGGUGCCGUAGCUAACGCGUUAAGUAUCCCGCCUGGGGAGUACGGUCGCAAGAUUAAAACUCAAAGAAAUUGACGG